This 817-nucleotide ribosomal RNA is filed under the name Microdochium sp. RNAcentral describes it as "partial large subunit ribosomal RNA". It matches the Rfam family "Eukaryotic large subunit ribosomal RNA", at positions 74 to 918 of the family's 3401-position model. Lineage: Eukaryota; Fungi; Ascomycota; Sordariomycetes; Xylariales; Microdochiaceae. The record is from RNAcentral.
AUUGCCCUAGUAACGGCGAGUGAAGCGGCAACAGCUCAAAUUUGAAAUCUGGCCCUUGGGUCCGAGUUGUAAUUUGUAGAGGAUGCUUUUGGUUAGGUACCUUCCGAGUUCCUUGGAACAGGACGCCUUAGAGGGUGAGAGCCCCGUACGGUUGGAUACCGAGCCUCUGUAAAGCUCCUUCGACGAGUCGAGUAGUUUGGGAAUGCUGCUCUAAAUGGGAGGUAAAUUUCUUCUAAAGCUAAAUACCGGCCAGAGACCGAUAGCGCACAAGUAGAGUGAUCGAAAGAUGAAAAGCACUUUGAAAAGAGGGUUAAAUAGUACGUGAAAUUGUUGAAAGGGAAGGGCUUGUGACCAGACCUUUGCCUUGCGGAUCAUCCGGUGUUCUCACCGGUGCACUCCGCUUGGUUGAGGCCAGCAUCAGUUUCGGCGGCGGGAUAAAGACUUCAGGAACGUGACUCCCCCGGGAGUGUUAUAGCCUGCUGUGUAAUACCGCCGCUGGGACUGAGGACCGCGCUUCGGCUAGGAUGCUGGCAUAAUGGUCAUCAGCCACCCGUCUUGAAACACGGACCAAGGAGUCGAACAUUUAUGCGAGUUUUUGGGUGUUAAACCCUCAAGCGUAAUGAAAGUGAACGGAGGUGAGAGCCCUUACGGGUGCAUCAUCGACCGAUCCUGAUGUCUUCGGAUGGAUUUGAGUAAGAGCAUAACUGUUCGGACCCGAAAGAUGGUGAACUAUGCGUGGAUAGGGUGAAGCCAGAGGAAACUCUGGUGGAGGCUCGCAGCGGUUCUGACGUGCAAAUCGAUCGUCAAAUCUGCGCAU